Molecule: ribosomal RNA, 454 nt
Filed under: uncultured bacterium
Lineage: Bacteria
Description: bacterial SSU rRNA
Rfam family: Bacterial small subunit ribosomal RNA
Source: RNAcentral
AACGAACGCUGGCGGCAUGCCUAACACAUGCAAGUCGAACGAAGGCUUCGGCCUUAGUGGCGCACGGGUGCGUAACGCGUGGGAAUCUGCCCUUGGGUUCGGAAUAACUCAGAGAAAUUUGAGCUAAUACCGGAUGAUGACGUAAGUCCAAAGAUUUAUCGCCCAAGGAUGAGCCCGCGUAAGAUUAGCUAGUUGGUGGGGUAAAGGCCUACCAAGGCGACGAUCUUUAGCUGGUCUGAGAGGAUGAUCAGCCACACUGGGACUGAGACACGGCCCAGACUCCUACGGGAGGCAGCAGUGGGGAAUAUUGGACAAUGGGGGGAACCCUGAUCCAGCCAUGCCGCGUGAGGGAAGAAGGGUCCUCUGGAUUGUAAACCUCUUUUUGGCAGGAAACAAACCUGCGCUAUACGCGCAGCUGAGGGUACCUGCAGAAUAAGCACCGGCUAACUCCGUG